RNAcentral lists this microRNA precursor (197 nucleotides) under Oryza rufipogon (brownbeard rice). RNAcentral's name for it is "MIR812 microRNA precursor family". It matches the Rfam family "MIR812 microRNA precursor family". Lineage: Eukaryota; Viridiplantae; Streptophyta; Magnoliopsida; Poales; Poaceae. The record is from Rfam by way of RNAcentral.
CUUAUUUGAAACCUUGGGUUUUCGUGUCCAGUUUGUCCAUCUGUCUUAUUUAAAAAAAAUAUAAAAAAAAUUAAAAAGUUGAGUCACGCAUAAAGUAUUAAUCAUGUUUUAUCAUUUAACAACAAUAAAAAUACUAAUUAUAAAAAAAAUUUCAUAUAAGACGGACAGUCAAACGUUGGAUACGAAAAUCCAGGGUU